CAUCCUUCAGCUUAAGAAUCAGGAAAGAACAUUAUUUAAAUGACUCUCAAAAGAUGGAUGCCUCUCCAGCCUUAGUAACUGUGAUGCUCUUGAUACUUGGAAGAACUCAUGCAGACUCAGUGACCCAGAUGGAAAGCCAUGUGACCAUGUCAGAAGGGGCUUUGCUGACUAUAAACUGCACUUACUCAGCUACAACCAUAGCAUACCCUGCUCUUUUCUGGUAUGUUCAAUACCCUGGAGAAGGUCUACAGCUCCUCCUGAAAGCUGUAAAGGCCAAUGAUAAGGUCAGCAACAAAGGUUUUGAAGCCACAUACAAUAAAGAAGCCACUUCUUUCAACUUGGAAAAAGCCUCCAUCCAAGAUUCAGAUUCGGCUGUGUACUACUGUGCUUUGGGUGACACAGUGGCAGAAACUGCAGGGGGAGCUGAGCACAAACUCUGAGAAGCACCCAAGGGCCUGGCUGCUGAGCGUCUGCCUCUGGUACCCAUUCUGUUUUCAGCACAAUUUAUGGUGUCUACAACAGUGUUUCUCUGGUUGAGGCAAAAUCAAACAAAUAUCUAGAGUAGAAAACAAAGAGUGGAAGUCUUUUAACUAGGAUCUUCAUUAGUCAAAGGGAAGACAGAGGCUGACAGCAUUAGUUCCUCAUGCCUGGCCAAAGUAAUUUCAAGGUAAAACCACUCGAACUAUGUAGUGGUCUCUUUGCUCAUCCUUGUCCACAAAACCCAGACCCCAUGUGUUGUUCCGGGUCACUCUGGUAGACAUUGAUGUGGCUUUUUAUAUUUUUAGAGAGACAAAUGUGCCAGAGAAGAUGGC
This is a non-coding RNA of Marmota monax (woodchuck), 812 nucleotides long. The record is from the annotation of a RefSeq genome assembly. Lineage: Eukaryota; Metazoa; Chordata; Mammalia; Rodentia; Sciuridae.